GUUGACCUCGGAUUAGGAGGA
This 21-nucleotide ribosomal RNA is filed under the name Annulohypoxylon stygium. RNAcentral's name for it is "partial 26S ribosomal RNA". The record is from RNAcentral. Lineage: Eukaryota; Fungi; Ascomycota; Sordariomycetes; Xylariales; Hypoxylaceae.